GCGCGAAACCUCCGCAAUGCGAGCAAUCGCGACGGGGGGACCCCAAGUGCUACUCUUAACGGGGUAGCUUUUCUAAAGUGUAAAAAGCUUCAGGAAUAAGGGCUGGGCAAGACCGGUGCCAGCCGCCGCGGUAACACCGGCAGCUCAAGUGGUGGCCGCUUUUAUUGGGCCUAAAGCGUUCGUAGCCGGCCUGAUAAGUCUCUGGUGAAAUCCCGCAGCUUAACUGUGGGAAUUGCUGGAGAUACUAUCAGGCUUGAGGCCGGGAGAGACUGGAGGAGCUCGCAAGGUAGGGGUGCAAUCCUAGAAGACUGGGAGGACAACCUGUGGCGAAGGCGUCCAGCUGGAACGGACCUGACGGUGAGUAACGA
Molecule: ribosomal RNA, 368 nt
Filed under: uncultured bacterium
Lineage: Bacteria
Description: bacterial SSU rRNA
Rfam family: Archaeal small subunit ribosomal RNA
Source: RNAcentral